AGGCAUGUGCACGCCCUGCUCAUCCACUCUACACCUGUGCACUUACUGUAGGUUUGGUGUGGGCUUCGGGGGCCUCCGGGCUUUCGAGGCAUUCUGCCGGCCUAUGUAACACUACAAACACAUAAAGUAACAGAAUGUCAUCGCGUCUAACGCACAUAAAUACAACUUUCAGCAACGGAUCUCUUGGCUCUCGCAUCGAUGAAGAACGCAGCGAAAUGCGAUAAGUAAUGUGAAUUGCAGAAUUCAGUGAAUCAUCGAAUCUUUGAACGCACCUUGCGCUCCUUGGUAUUCCGAGGAGCAUGCCUGUUUGAGUGUCAUGGAAUUCUCAACCCACACGUCCUUGUGAUGAUGCGGGCUUGGAUUUGGAGGCUUGCUGGCCCUUGUGGGUCAGCUCCUCUUGAAUGCAUUAGCUUGAUUCCGUGCGAACCGGCUCUCAGUGUGAUAAUUGUCUACGCUGUGACCGUGAAGCGUUUUGGCAAGCUUCUAAUCGUCCCAUAAGGGACAACAAACCUUGACAUCUGACCUCAAAUCAGGUAG
RNAcentral lists this ribosomal RNA (537 nucleotides) under Trametes cinnabarina. RNAcentral describes it as "eukaryotic LSU rRNA". The stretch from base 164 to 317 matches the Rfam family "5.8S ribosomal RNA". Lineage: Eukaryota; Fungi; Basidiomycota; Agaricomycetes; Polyporales; Polyporaceae. The record is from RNAcentral.